This 301-nucleotide ribosomal RNA is filed under the name uncultured bacterium. Its description in RNAcentral is "partial 16S ribosomal RNA". It matches the Rfam family "Bacterial small subunit ribosomal RNA", at positions 509 to 808 of the family's 1533-position model. The record is from RNAcentral.
CAGUCGCCGCGGUAAUACGUAGGUGGCAAGCGUUGUCCGGAAUUAUUGGGCGUAAAGGGCUCGCAGGCGGUUUCUUAAGUCUGAUGUGAAAGCCCCCGGCUCAACCGGGGAGGGUCAUUGGAAACUGGAAACUUGAGUGCAGAAGAGGAGAGUGGAAUUCCACGUGUAGCGGUGAAAUGCGUAGAGAUGUGGAGGAACACCAGUGGCGAAGGCGACUCUCUGGUCUGUAACUGACGCUGAGGAGCGAAAGCGUGGGGAGCGAACAGGAUUAGAUACCCCUGUAGUCCCUGUCUCUUAUACA